Molecule: long non-coding RNA, 195 nt
Organism: Ipomoea triloba (trilobed morning glory)
Lineage: Eukaryota; Viridiplantae; Streptophyta; Magnoliopsida; Solanales; Convolvulaceae
Exons: 2
Source: RefSeq, a predicted model, not a curated record
UUUGUAGAACUCAUGGCUUAAAAAGAUCUUGUGUUGCAGGCUGGACCUUUACCUGCCUAAAAACAAUGAUGGCCCCAAGCCAAUUGUAGCAUUUGUAACAGGUGGAGCCUGGAUCAUUGGUUACAAAGCUUGGGGUUCUCUUUUAGGACAACAGUUAUCUGAAAGAGGCGUAAUAGUGGCAUGCAUUGAUUACAG